Molecule: ribosomal RNA, 253 nt
Filed under: uncultured bacterium
Lineage: Bacteria
Description: partial 16S ribosomal RNA
Rfam family: Bacterial small subunit ribosomal RNA
Source: RNAcentral
UACGUAGGGUGCGAGCGUUAAUCGGAAUUACUGGGCGUAAAGCGUGCGCAGGCGGUUCGUUGUGUCCGUCGUGAAAGCCCCGGGCUUAACCUGGGAAUGGCAUUGGAAACUGGCGGGCUUGAGUGCGGCAGAGGGGGGUGGAAUUCCGCGUGUAGCAGUGAAAUGCGUAGAGAUGCGGAGGAACACCGAUGGCGAAGGCAGCCCCCUGGGUCGACACUGACGCUCAGGCACGAAAGCGUGGGGAGCAAACAGG